Callorhinus ursinus (northern fur seal) is the source of this 421-nucleotide non-coding RNA. The record is from RefSeq and is a predicted model, not a curated record. Lineage: Eukaryota; Metazoa; Chordata; Mammalia; Carnivora; Otariidae.
GUCCAGCUGACUGUAGCCUGGACUGUGCUUUGAGUGUCGCCUCCCACAGAGUGCUCUCUGGCGAGUGUCGGCGCCUGCACCCUUCUGGCCAGGUUGUUUGAGUCAAGAUCUGUGAAGUGUCUGAGGUUCUACCCUACUUGCAAGCUAACAACUUAGCCUGCCAGUUUUAUGGAUGCUGGCAGAAGAUAUGAGACUCCUGGAUUAUCAACAAAGGACUUUCUUACUUCCAGAAUAACAAACAGCAUGAGCAUCAGCAUAUUUGCAUCACUUCUCCUUGCCCCAAGUCCCACUGGGGUGCCAUCGGCCCAGAUGGAUGCAUAUGCAGUGGGUUGAAUUAAAUAAGCCCUGAGCUCAGGGAACCCAAAUCUUUUUAAUUAGCAGUAAGCAUGCCCCUCCUUAAUUUUUUUUAAGAUUUUUAUUU